RNAcentral lists this ribosomal RNA (425 nucleotides) under uncultured Pseudoflavonifractor sp. RNAcentral describes it as "bacterial SSU rRNA". It matches the Rfam family "Bacterial small subunit ribosomal RNA", at positions 355 to 794 of the family's 1533-position model. Lineage: Bacteria; Bacillati; Bacillota; Clostridia; Eubacteriales; Oscillospiraceae. The record is from RNAcentral.
UGGGGAAUAUUGGGCAAUGGACGAAAGUCUGACCCAGCGACGCCGCGUGAGGGAAGAAGGUCUUCGGAUUGUAAACCUCUGUUGACAGGGAAGAAGGAAGUGACGGUACCUGUCGAGGAAGCCACGGCUAACUACGUGCCAGCAGCCGCGGUAAUACGUAGGUGGCAAGCGUUAUCCGGAAUUACUGGGUGUAAAGGGUGUGUAGGCGGGACUGCAAGUCAGAUGUGAAAACUAUUGGCUUAACCAAUAGCCUGCAUUUGAAACUGUGGUUCUUGAGUGUCGGAGAGGUAAAUGGAAUUCCCGGUGUAGCGGUGAAAUGCGUAGAUAUUAGGAGGAACACCAGUGGCGAAGGCGGAUUGCUGGACAGCAACUGACGGUGAGGCGCGAAAGUGUGGGGAGCAAACAGGAUUAGAUACCCUGGUAGU